Non-coding RNA from Peromyscus maniculatus bairdii (prairie deer mouse), 1731 nucleotides. NCBI's taxonomy places the organism in Eukaryota, Metazoa, Chordata, Mammalia, Rodentia, Cricetidae. The record is from RefSeq and is a predicted model, not a curated record.
CCUUGAACUUGUUGCUUUCUCCUCAGCCACCUGAGUAGCUGUGCCAUCAGGUCUGGCUAUCAAUUGAGAAUUGAAGAAGAACAUUCAAGAAGGAGGACCAGCAUUUGAAUUAGUUUCUGGUUAUGCCCACAGCCCAGAGGUGAAAGACUAAGUCCCUAUUGCUGAAGACACUAAAUGCGUUGGACAUAGGACCCAGAAGACCCUGCACUGGAUCUGACCUGAAAGCUCCUCACUGAGGACUAACUUUAAUGGUACCAGAAAGCUCCAUGCAAGCUUCCAAAUUCUGCCUGGGUAUGAUGCCUAUUAACCACAGCAACAAUCAGCAUGGUACAAAAACCCUGAGGGUGCAGUCGUGGCACACGUACCUUGAUGUUAACAGCAGCUCUCUAAUUGAAUAAAUGUACGGCUAUCAUCCUCCACCAAGAAAACUUCUAUUUGCAACAGAUGGAGGCUAUUAUAAAAGACUCCAAUGGAUAGGAUCGCAGAGUUGUGAAGCCCAAGCUGUUCUAUCUACAACACAAUUGCACCUAAGGCUCAUGGGUCAUUUUGGAAGAGGAGGCAGAAAGACUGUAAGAGCCAGAUGAUCAGAAAGUUUGCUGUGAGAUUGUGUCUCCUAGAGAAGUCAGAGAAGCUGCACCUAUGAAGACUCACUAAAGUGGCUGCCUAAGCCAGACCUGAACAAGAACAACACCAGUAGACAUACUAAUUGUGGAAGGGGAAAAGCUAAAGAGGCCUCCACCAUAGACAAAACUCCAGAUGACUAAGGGAUGUUGAGAGCUGGGAAAACAGUCUUCCUCGGAGAAAAGCCCAGCAAUCAGUAAUCCAAUACAAAAUGGUCAGCCCUGAGAACAUACAUAAAACAACAUAAUUCAGACCAAGCAAGGUCUAUGGGUGAAGGACAGAUAUUUUCCCUUCUGUUUCUUGGGCAGUCUCUGACUCGGUGACGGAGGGAAGCCGGGGGAAGCAGGAGACAGGAGCAUUGCUGGUGUAUUGCUGAGGAGCACCCUACAACUGCUGAGAUCAGCAUGAAGGGAGAGGAUGAGUGUUCCGAGGAGAAGGCUCGCAGUGAAUCAUGGCACACUGAGCUUCAGAUCUGGAGCCAUGAACAACAGGUUGGGAUACACAUGGACACCGAGAACCACUCCAAAGAGGCUUCCUGUCUGACUUAAGUACCAGAUAAGUCAUCAGAAAAAAAAACUUCAAAGGAAGAUCAGAGUGUCUGCAUGCAGUGACUUCUUGGCUUCCUGUAGCACAUGGUGCUUUCAGGACUUGACAAAAUUCCCACGACAACAUGUGAACCCACUAUAGUGACUGUCACUUCUGAGGGUGGACAUGGAAUACCUGAUGUCACACUUCAGGGCUGGAGAGGUAAGAUUUGAUCCCACAAAAAGAGACUAAGCCCAACUGUGUUUUUCACCACAAUUGGGAACUUUAAGACCACAUUGAACUUUGCCAUACUAUACUAGUAAGAAUAAAAUACUCAUGGAAAUAGGGAGAAACAGAGUGCUGUGGGGUGGGGUGGGGAGGUUCCCAGGAAUCCACAGGGAUGACUCCACCAUAGACUACUGGCAAUGGUCGAGAUGGUGCCUGAGCUGGCAUACUCUGGUAAUUGGAUGGCUGAAUACCCUAACUGACAUCAUAGAACCCUCAUCCAGUGACUGAUGGAAGCAGAUGCAGAGAUCCACGGCCGGGUCUCAGGAGGAGCUCCAGGAGUCCAGUCGAUGGGGGAGA